AGUACAUUCCCUUCUCCUACUUCACGCGGACGCCGGAGCCACACAACUUCGGCGGGACAAUGUUAGAGCUCCAGCCCAUCAUCACCAAGAAGCUCAACGUCUGUAUGGAGUACCAGGUGCCGCCGAGUCAUCUCCACGGGCAGCGGCUUGAUAACGGGACGUGGAUGGGGUUACUGGGCAUGCUGGUGCUGGAGGAGGUCGACAUGGGGGGCACGCCGAUGACUCUUAGUGACGAGCGAAUCCAGGCUAUGGACCCGAGUGUUCCGCUGUACAUGGACGUCCAGACCCUCGCCUACAAGCGGCCCUUGCUAGAGUCUGACCUGCUGGGCUUCAUUAAACUCUACACGCGGGAGGAGGCGCAGCAGGAGGAGGAAGAGGAGGUGGUAGAGGGAGAAGGGAGGAAAAUGGAAGAGAUAGUAAAAGGAGAAGGGAAGGAAGAAGAGGACGAAGAUGAGAUUGUGGGUUGUAGAGGAUGGGAGGAGAAGAAAAAAGGAGGAACAGGAGGAGAAAGAGAUAAUAUUGUGGUAAAGGAGAUACUAAUAUUGGUAAAGAUGGAAGAAAAGGAGAGAGAAAAGGAGUAGGAAGAGGCAGUAGAGGGAGAAAGGAAGGAGGAGCAGGAAGAAGGGGAGAAUCUGAAUUGAAGAAACGGAAAUAAAAGCAGUAAAGGAGAGAAGGAAGAAGAAAGGACAGUGAUAAAAGAGUUGAUAGUUUUAGUAGAGGAGAAAAGGAGAGGGAGGAGGUGUUGGUGGUAGUGGUGGUUUUCAUGGGAUAGAAAUAACAGGAGGAGAAACAAGAAUAAAAGAGAAAAGAUAGGAACAAGAAAGAGGAAGCAGAAGAGGAGGAGGAGGAGCAGGAGGAGAUGAAGACCGCGGAGCAACAAAUGGAAAAUAACAAGGAGCAGGUGGAGGAGAGGAGGAAAAUCAGGCAGGGAAAAAGAAAACCCCGGCGAAAGAGGAGGAGGAGAACAGGCAUGUGAGGAGAAAAAAAAAAUAUCCGGUUAUGUUGUAAGUUACAUGAGUUGACAAAUAUCUUCAUGCAAUUCAGAGUUAGAACAGCGUAAAGAUAGAGAAGUGGAUCGUCUGAUGAAAAGGGACUCGAGUAUCUACGUGUUUUUUUUAUAUUAUAUUUGUCAUUGUUUGUUUUUAUUUUCAUUUUACGUGUUUUAUUUUAUUAUUUUUCAUAUUUUUUCCUCUUCAAGGUGUGGCUCCUGCUGGGGAUGGCGCUGGUGGUUGUCGCUGUCAGUGGCUUCGUAGUCGACAAAAACUACAGCAAAAUCCUGCAGCUAAUCCCUUACUCGCCUCGUCCGGUUUCCACUUCCCGCCGCCGCUUCCUCCUCUUCCUCCUCCUCAGCGGCGAUCAAGGGUGGAGCAGCAUCUCACAGCAGCAUCAGCCUCGCGGACAUCUUCCACUGGGCGUUUGGCAUUUUCUUGGGGCAAGGUAAGUUGAUGUACGGGUUUCUCCUCCUCCUCCUCCUCCUCCUCCUCCUUCUUCUGGAAUUUAAAUUAGCAAUGUCGUUUUGUCUCCCGGCGGUUGAGUAGGCUGUGCACUCUUUAACUUAAAGUUUCAUCGUCUAACGCCAUGGUUUACCCUCAAAGUGAAGAUAAUAAGGAGGAACAGUAGAAAUGGUUAACUUCUAUAGUGGCAUUUAACAUAAUAAAGUCGAUAUUUAAUGAAGGAAAACGAGAGACAAUUUACAGAAAAUUGAUUAUCGCAAUUUAACAUAAAAUGGUGCAGAAGACCCAUAGCCUAGCUGUAUAUAACUAACUAUCGGAGUACAUUGCGGC
Eriocheir sinensis (Chinese mitten crab) is the source of this 1784-nucleotide long non-coding RNA. RefSeq lists it as uncharacterized. The record is from RefSeq and is a predicted model, not a curated record. The transcript is spliced from 3 exons. Lineage: Eukaryota; Metazoa; Arthropoda; Malacostraca; Decapoda; Varunidae.